UCAGUUCAUACAUUCAUUGUCUGUCAAUGAGUCGUGGCCGUGGUUAGCCGAUUGAAGUGCCAAAAAGAAUUCAACUCACCCCAGACCGAUAUUUUUAACCAAAAUGGGUUCCAAAUUGCAAGAGUACAAAGACACGUUAGAACGCAACUUAAAUGACAAAAGCAAGCCAUGGACGAAAUAUUUCGAAUUAGCCGAACAGAAAACUGGCAUGAACAGGGUCUAUAUCUUUGUCGGCUUAGUGGCGUUCACCGGUUUAUAUUUAGUAUUCGGAUUUGGAGCUGAAUUAAUAUGCAAUUCAAUUGGUUUCGUGUACCCGGCUUACAUGUCGAUGAAAGCAUUGGAGUCGCCACAGAAGGACGAUGAUACAAAAUGGUUGACAUAUUGGGUGGUAUACGCCGUCUUCUCAAUAGUGGAGUAUUUCUCCGACUUCAUUGUCGGCUGGUUCCCGCUAUACUGGCUAAUUAAGUGCAUUUUCAUCAUCUGGUGCUACCUACCGACGGAGUACAACGGAUCCCUGAUAAUUUAUCACCGCAUCAUCCGUCCUUACUAUCAGAAACACCACAACCGUAUCGACGACAUGGCCGCCUCAGAUAUUUUGAAAACUAUUGUGAAGGAUGCCAAUAAAAGUAUUGAUAAAACGGUUAAAUCAUUCAACAAAGUGCUUUCAGAUCUGCAUAAAGACUAAAGCAUCAGGGGUUAUAGAGUAAGGUAAACAAGAGUAGAGCCGUUAUAUCUGCACUGAACUUCUCGCCUGGUAGCUGAUGCUGUAAGGAAGAACAACUAGAUCAUGUAAUUUAAUUAUCGGAGGAAAAGUACAAAACACCAAAUACAGCACUUUGAACGCUUGCAACACUUGCCGCCACAGAUAAAAAAAAUACCAUAGACAACUUAGUACAUCGAAAUAAGUGAUCUACUUCUAAUAAAAUAUUUUUCUACAAUCUUGUUUCUUAUUCAUUGGGUAUUUGGGUAGGCUUAACGGUUCGGAAACAUCUGUAUUAAUUAAGUUUUGUAUUACUUCGACUGUCUUAGUAUAAAAUCGUUAGUGUAUCGCUUUCUGACUUGAUCUUUUUUAAAAUCCUAGCUUAAGUGACUUCGAUUUUUCCUAGUUUUCUUCAUAAGACCCCAAGGCAAUGAAUUUCCUGUGUUUUCUUUUAUUGUAUAAUAAUAUAAGUAGCUCAAGGAAUGUUAGUAUUUUUCGUAUUGUUAAGUUUGAAUAAAAGACCAUGUUUUUUUAGUUUUUGUGGAUUUUCGCACAGAUUGUAAUAUGCUUUAAGUGUCGCCAAUUAUAGAGCAUUUAAGUGUGAACACUUGUGGUAUAAAAUGGUAACCCCGGUUUUUCGAUAAAUCGUGUAGUUUUUUCUACGCUUGAACUGCAAAUCCAUGUUGUAUGCCUCGUAUCUGUCUACUAAAUAAUAUUCACGCAAGGAAUUACUAUAAUGUCAUUUUUUCACGCAAAUAAAAAGGAAUUCAUUGUA
RNAcentral lists this unclassified non-coding RNA (1475 nucleotides) under Zerene cesonia (dogface butterfly). RNAcentral describes it as "receptor expression-enhancing protein 5, transcript variant X1". The record is from RNAcentral. Lineage: Eukaryota; Metazoa; Arthropoda; Insecta; Lepidoptera; Pieridae.